This 301-nucleotide ribosomal RNA is filed under the name uncultured bacterium. RNAcentral describes it as "partial 16S ribosomal RNA". It matches the Rfam family "Bacterial small subunit ribosomal RNA", at positions 509 to 807 of the family's 1533-position model. The record is from RNAcentral.
CAGUCGCCACGGGAAUACGUGGGUGGCAAGCGUUGUCCGGAAUUAUUGGGCGUAAAGGGCUCGCAGGCGGUUUCUUGAGUCUGAUGUGAAAGCCCCCGGCUCAACCGGGGAGGGUCAUUGGAAACUGGGAAACUUGAGUGCAGAAGAGGAGAGUGGAAUUCCACGUGUAGCGGUGAAAUGCGUAGAGAUGUGGAGGAACACCAGUGGCGAAGGCGACUCUCUGGUCUGUAACUGACGCUGAGGAGCGAAAGCGUGGGGAGCGAACAGGAUUAGAUACCCCAGUAGUCCCUGUCUCUUAUAC